RNAcentral lists this ribosomal RNA (865 nucleotides) under uncultured archaeon. RNAcentral describes it as "bacterial SSU rRNA". It matches the Rfam family "Archaeal small subunit ribosomal RNA", at positions 52 to 924 of the family's 1478-position model. The record is from RNAcentral.
UGUGAGUCGUUGCAGCAAUGCAAGGCGAACGGCUCAGUAACACGUAGUCAACCUAACCUGUAGACGGGAAUAACCUCGGGAAACUGAGAAUAAUGCCCGAUAGAUCACAAUGCUUGGAAUAGUUUGUGGUUCAAAUGAUUUAUCGCUACAGGAUGGGACUGCGGCCUAUCAGCUUGUUGGUGAGGUAAUGGCCCACCAAGGCGAUAACAGGUACGGGCUCUGAGAGGAGAGGCCCGGAGAUGGGUACUGAGACACGGACCCAGGCCCUAUGGGGCGCAGCAGGCGAGAAAACUUUGCAAUGUGCGAAAGCACGACAAGGUUAAUCCGAGUGGUUUCUGCUAAAGAAACCUUUUGUCAAUCCUAAAAGCAUCGACGAAUAAGGGGUGGGCAAGUUCUGGUGUCAGCCGCCGCGGUAAAACCAGCACCUCAAGUGGUCAGGAGGAUUAUUGGGCCUAAAGCAUCCGUAGCCGGCUGUGUAAGUUUUCGGUUAAAUCCACACGCUCAACGUGUGGGCCGCCGGGAAUACUGCACAGCUAGGGAGUGGGAGAGGUAGACGGUACUCCGUAGGAAGGGGUAAAAUCCUGUGAUCUAUGGAUGACCACCUGUGGCGAAGGCGGUCUACUAGAACAUGUCCGACGGUGAGGGAUGAAAGCUGGGGGAGCAAACCGGAUUAGAUACCCGGGUAGUCCCAGCUGUAAACUAUGCAAACUCGGUGAUGCAUUGGCUUUUGCCAGUGCAGUGUCGCAGGGAAGCCGUUAAGUUUGCCGCCUGGGAAGUACGUACGCAAGUAUGAAACUUAAAGGAAUUGGCGGGGGAGCACCACAAGGGGUGAAGCCUGCGGUUAAUUGNANNNAAACCNCCGGGA